CUUUAUUUAAUCCAAUCAAACAUUUAUCAGUUAUCAGUUUAUUUUAUCCAAUCACAUCAUCAGCUGGUUUUAUUAAUUACCAGAUCUCGUUGUUAUCAAUCUGUUUUAUCCACUCUCGGCUUCCACAGCCUGGCUCCUCUCCUCCUCUGGGAUCCCAGACAGAUCCCAGACAGAUCCCAGACAGAUCCCUGCCCUGGAAUCCUUUAUGGGAUCCCUUUUCCCCUGCAGGGCUCCCUCUGCCAGGAUCCCUCUCCAGGAGUCCCAGAGGCUCCCUUUGCCAGGAUCUCUUUUUUUGGGAUCCCUUCCCCAGGAUCCAUUUACUGGGAUCCCUUUCCUAAGGAUCCCUUUUCCGAGGAUCCCUUUCCUGGGAUCCCUUCCCCAGGGAUCCCUUUCCUGAGAUCCCUUCCCCAAGUUCCAUUUCCCGGGAUCCCUUUCCCAAGGGUUCCAUUUCCAGGGAUCCCUUCCCCAAGGAUCCCAUUCCCAGGUUCCCUUUCCCAGGUUUCAUUUCCCAGGAUCCCUUUCCCAAGGAUCCAUUUCCUGGGAUCCCUUUCCUGAGGGUCCCUUUCCUGAGAUCCCUUCUCCAAGUUCCAUUUCCCAGGAUCCCUUUCCCAAGGAUCCAUUUACUGGGAUCCCCUUUCCCAGGGAUCCAUUUCCCGGGAUCCCUUCCCCAGGAUCCAUUUCCUGGGAUCCAUUUCCCAAGAUCCCAUUCCUGGGAUCCAUUUCCCAGGAUCCCUUCUCCAGGGAUCCCUUUCCCAGGAUCCCUUCCCCAAGGAUCCCAUUCCCGGGAUCCCUUCCCCGAGAUCCCUUCCCCAGGGAUCCAUUUCCUGAGAUCCCAUUCCCAUGAUCCCUUUCCCAGGAUCCCUUCCCAAGGAUCCCAUUCCCGGGAUCCCUUCCCAGGUUCCAUUUCCCAGGAUCCCUUCCCCAAGGAUCCCAUUCCCAUGAUCCCAUUCCCAAGGAUCCCUUUCCCAGGAUCCCAUUCCCAUGAUCCCAUUCCCGAGAUCCCUUUCCCAGGAUCCCUUUCCCAGGAUCCCAUUCCCAGGAUCCCUUCCCCAGGGAUCCCUUCCCAAGGUUCCAUUCCCCGAGAUCCCUUUCCUGGGAUCCCUUCCCAAGGACCCCAUUCCCGGGAUCCAUUUCCCAGGAUCCCUUCUCCAGGGAUCCCUUCCCAAGGUUCCAUUCCCCGAGAUCCCUUUCCUGGGAUCCCUUCCCAAGGAUCCCAUUCCCAGGAUCCCUUCCCCAAGGACCCCAUUCCCAGGAUCCAUUUCCCAGGAUCCCUUCUCCAGGGAUCCCUUUCCCAUGAUCCCAUUCCCGGGAUCCCAUUCCCAGGAUCCCAUUCCCAUGAUCCCAUUCCCAUGAUCCCUUCCCAAGGAUCCCAUUCCCGGGAUCCCUUCCCCGUCCUCUCCGGGCUCCAUCUCCCCUGUGCCCUCCCUCACUUCCCUCCUUCCCUUGCAGCCUCUGGAGCUGCUGUGUGAGAAAUCCAUCGGGACGGCGAACCGGCCGAUGGGCGCGGGCGAGGCUCUGCGCCGCGUGCUGGAGUGCCUGGCCUCGGGCAUCGUCAUGCCAGGUGAGCAGCUCCGGACACCUGAGCUCCUCCAGACAGGUGAGCAGCUCCGGCCAGGUGAGAUCUGGCCAGGUGAGCAGCUCCGGACACCUGAGCUCCUCCAGACAGGUGAGCUCCAGAGAGCUGAGCUCUGGCCAGGUGAGCUCCUCGGCCAGGUGAGCUCCGGCCAGGUGAGCAGCUCUGGCCAGGUGAGCUCUGGCCAGGUGAGAUCUGGCCAGGUGAGCUCCUCGGCCAGGUGAGCUCCGGCCAGGUGAGCAGCUCUGGCCAGGUGAGCAGCUCCGGCCAGGUGAGCUCUGGCCAGGUGAGAUCUGGCCAGGUGAGCUCCUCGGCCAGGUGAGCUCUGGCCAGGUGAGCAGCUCCGGCCAGGUGAGCUCCUAUGGCCAGGUGAGCUCCUAUGGCCAGGUGAGAUCUGGCUGGGUGAGCUCCGGCCAGGUGAGCUCCGGCCAGUGAGCUCCAGAGAGCUGAGCUCCGGCAGGUGAGCUCCUCUGGCCAGCUGAGCUCCUCUGGCCAGGUGAGCUCCGGCCAGCUGAGCUCCUCUGGCCAGGUGAGCUACUCUGGCCAGGUGAGCUCUGGCCAAGUGAGCUCCAGCCACCUGAGCUCCGGCCAGCUGAGCUUCUCUGGCCAGGUGAGCUCCUCCAGCCAGCUGAGCUCCGGCCAGCUGAGCUUCUCUGGCCAGGUGAGCUCCUCCAGCCAGGUGAGCUCCUCUGGCCAGGUGAGCUCCGGCCACCUGAGCUCCGGCCAGGUGAGCUCCGGCCCGCUGAGCUCCGGCCAGGUGAGCUACUCUGGCCAGGUGAGCUCCUCCAGCCAGGUGAGCUCCGGCCAGCUGAGCUCCAGCCAGGUGAGCUCCUCUGGCCAGGUGAGCUCUGGCCAGGUGAGCUCCGGCCAGCUGAGCUCCGCCCGCAGCAGCGGAG
Parus major (Great Tit) is the source of this 2469-nucleotide long non-coding RNA. Lineage: Eukaryota; Metazoa; Chordata; Aves; Passeriformes; Paridae. The record is from Ensembl.